This 356-nucleotide unclassified non-coding RNA is filed under the name Penaeus chinensis. RNAcentral describes it as "uncharacterized LOC125032672, transcript variant X3". Lineage: Eukaryota; Metazoa; Arthropoda; Malacostraca; Decapoda; Penaeidae. The record is from RNAcentral.
UGAACCCAUGCUAAAGAAACGUAAACCUGUGGACAUGUUACAAGUGCAAUAUACUGGCGAUUUUUUUCGGUUUCGGGGAUUGCCACGACUGUUGUGUAUGAAGGAAUGGAUGGAAUCAGCAUCGUCUCUGCUUAUUAGUUGGUCUGAGCACGUUGCAUGAGGCCUUGGAUCUUGCAAGAGGAGCAGCGCAGGAAGCAUCCUGCAAGGCCUGGUAGGAGUAUGCGGCAUACACCGGUCCAAGGCCGCCCUGGAACUUGGAGGCUGGAACCCUGGUCCUCUGAUCGUACUUCAGGGCCCCGAUGGCAAGGGCCUGCCAAGACCUUGAAGAAACUGGGUCCUGUCAACUGCGUCAUCCU